GUCCACGCCGUAAACGUUGGGCGCUAGGUGUGGGGAACCUUCCACGUUCUCCGUGCCGCAGCUAACGCAUUAAGCGCCCCGCCUGGGGAGUACGGCAGCAAGGCUAAAACUCAAAGGAAUUGACGGGGGCCCGCACAAGCGGCGGAGCAUGUGGCUUAAUUAGACGCAACGCGAAGAACCUUACCAAGGCUUGACAUAUACCGAAAACUCAUAGAGAUAUGGGGUCCGCAAGGGCGGUAUACAGGUGGUGCAUGGUUGUCGU
This 262-nucleotide ribosomal RNA is filed under the name uncultured bacterium. Its description in RNAcentral is "partial 16S ribosomal RNA". It matches the Rfam family "Bacterial small subunit ribosomal RNA", at positions 793 to 1055 of the family's 1533-position model. The record is from RNAcentral.